This 628-nucleotide ribosomal RNA is filed under the name uncultured Bacilli bacterium. RNAcentral describes it as "bacterial SSU rRNA". It matches the Rfam family "Bacterial small subunit ribosomal RNA", at positions 84 to 700 of the family's 1533-position model. The record is from RNAcentral. Lineage: Bacteria; Bacillati; Bacillota; Bacilli.
CUUCUGGAUGAGUUGCGAACGGGUGAGUAACGCGUAGGUAACCUGCCUGGUAGCGGGGGAUAACUAUUGGAAACGAUAGCUAAUACCGCAUAAUAGUAGAUGUUGCGUGACAUUUGCUUAAAAGGUGCAAUUGCAUCACUACCAGAUGGACCUGCGUUGUAUUAGCUAGUUGGUGGGGUAACGGCUCACCAAGGCGACGAUACAUAGCCGACCUGAGAGGGUGAUCGGCCACACUGGGACUGAGACACGGCCCAGACUCCUACGGGAGGCAGCAGUAGGGAAUCUUCGGCAAUGGGGGCAACCCUGACCGAGCAACGCCGCGUGAGUGAAGAAGGUUUUCGGAUCGUAAAGCUCUGUUGUAAGAGAAGAACGAGUGUGAGAGUGGAAAGUUCACACUGUGACGGUAACUUACCAGAAAGGGACGGCUAACUACGUGCCAGCAGCCGCGGUAAUACGUAGGUCCCGAGCGUUAUCCGGAUUUAUUGGGCGUAAAGCGAGCGCAGGCGGUUAGAUAAGUCUGAAGUUAAAGGCUGUGGCUUAACCAUAGUACGCUUUGGAAACUGUUUAACUUGAGUGCAAGAGGGGAGAGUGGAAUUCCAUGUGUAGCGGUGAUAUGCGUAGAUAUAUG